This 434-nucleotide ribosomal RNA is filed under the name uncultured archaeon. RNAcentral's name for it is "bacterial SSU rRNA". It matches the Rfam family "Archaeal small subunit ribosomal RNA", at positions 19 to 458 of the family's 1478-position model. The record is from RNAcentral.
GGACCUGACUGCUAUCGGAUUGAUACUAAGCCAUGUGAGUCAUUGUAGCAAUACAAGGCAGACGGCUCAGUAACACGUAGCCAAUCUACCCUAUGGACGGGGAUAACCUCGGGAAACUGAGGAUAAACCCCGAUAGAUCAUUAUGCCUGGAAUGGUUAAUGGUUCAAAUGAUUCGUCGCCGUAGGAUGGGACUGCGGCCUAUCAGCUUGUUGGUGAGGUAAUGGCCCACCAAGGCUAUUACAGGUACGGGCUCUGAGAGGAGAAGCCCGGAGAUGGGUACUGAGACACGGACCCAGGCCCUAUGGGGCGCAGCAGGCGAGAAACCUUUGCAAUGUGCGCAAGCACGACAAGGUUAAUCCGAGUGUUUCCUGCUAAAGGAAUCUUUUGUUAGUCCUAAAAACACUAGCGAAUAAGGGGUGGGCAAGUUCUGGUGU